RNAcentral lists this small RNA (744 nucleotides) under Pan troglodytes (chimpanzee). RNAcentral describes it as "retained intron". The record is from RNAcentral. Lineage: Eukaryota; Metazoa; Chordata; Mammalia; Primates; Hominidae.
GGCUCUGGCUCUCUCUCGCUAGAGGGAUGCCACCGCCCUGUCCUCCCGUCCUCGGCGUUGCCUUCCCCUCCCUCUUUCCCACUGACGCCUUGAAAACCCUUAUUUGCGCAUUCACUCACGCUUGAGGUCACUCUCUGAAAGAGAACGAAGUAAUUUUCUGAAGGGAAGCUGCAGAAUAUGGAAAACAUAUAUUGGAGCUACAUGGACGUAAGUUCAAACCUCACUUCAACCUUUAGCUGCAAAGUUCUUGCCCUUUAAUUGAAUCAUAAAAUUGAGUAUGAUAAUACCUACCUUAAGGGAUUUUUAUGAAGAUUAAAUGAAACAAUUUGUGUUUAUUGCCUGGGACGUAAUAGCCAUUCAAUAAACACUAGUAUUGUUUAUUGAUGACAGGGUGAAUUGUACAGUAUGUGAAUUAUACCUCAAUAAAGCUAUUGAAAAAAGGUGUUAGGGGCUUUGAAGGCAAAACUGUGCUCUCCUUCAUUGUAUAAACGUAACAUAACCAAGUAGCAAUAAAUCAUUCAUACCCUAAUGUCCAGUUUCCCUUAAGAGAAAAUGCAUUUUUGAAGUGUUGACACCUACAACCAUACAAUGAAGUAAAAUAAUAUUUUCUUCACUUGCACCAUGCUCAAGGCAGCAGGUUAACUGGAUAUAGACAUGUAAAUUCAAUGCCAAUUUGAAUUAUACAUCAGAUUUAUGGAGCCGUUUUGUAGACCUAAGUAACUGCCAUCAGAGUCAGGAAAGAGA